CCUACGGGAGGCAGCAGUGAGGAAUAUUGGUCAAUGGGCGCGAGCCUGAACCAGCCAAGUAGCGUGAAGGAUGACUGCCCUAUGGGUUGUAAACUUCUUUUAUAUGGGAAUAAAGUGCAGCAUGUGUGCCCCUUUGCAUGUACCUUAUGAAUAAGGAUCGGCUAACUCCGUGCCAGCAGCCGCGGUAAUACGGAGGAUCCGAGCGUUAUCCGGGUUUAUUGGGUUUAAAGGGAGCGUAGGUGGGUUGUUAAGUCAGUUGUGAAAGUUUGCGGCUCAACCGUAAAAUUGCAGUUGAUACUGGCAGCCUUGAGUACAGUAGAGGUAGGCGGAAUUCGUGGUGUAGCGGUGAAAUGCUUAGAUAUCACGAAGAACUCCGAUUGCGAAGGCAGCUUACUGGACUGCAACUGACACUGAGGCUCGAAAGUGUGGGUAUCAAACAGGAUUAGAUACCCCUGUAGUC
This 460-nucleotide ribosomal RNA is filed under the name uncultured bacterium. Its description in RNAcentral is "partial 16S ribosomal RNA". It matches the Rfam family "Bacterial small subunit ribosomal RNA", at positions 338 to 795 of the family's 1533-position model. The record is from RNAcentral.